RNAcentral lists this ribosomal RNA (348 nucleotides) under uncultured bacterium. RNAcentral's name for it is "bacterial SSU rRNA". It matches the Rfam family "Bacterial small subunit ribosomal RNA", at positions 917 to 1266 of the family's 1533-position model. The record is from RNAcentral.
GGGCCCGCACAAGCGGUGGAGUAUGUGGUUUAAUUCGAUGCAACGCGAAGAACCUUACCAGGGUUUGACAUCCUGCGAAUCUCUUGGAAACUUGAGAGUGCCUUCGGGAGCGCAGUGACAGGUGGUGCAUGGCUGUCGUCAGCUCGUGUCGUGAGAUGUUGGGUUAAGUCCCGCAACGAGCGCAACCCACGUCUUUAGUUGCCAGCAUUUAGUUGGGCACUCUAGAGAGACCGCCGGUGAUAAACCGGAGGAAGGUGUGGAUGACGUCAAGUCAUCAUGCCCCUUACAUCCUGGGCUACACACGUGCUACAAUGGGGCGUACAAAGGGUUGCAAUCCCGCGAGGGGAG